Molecule: ribosomal RNA, 326 nt
Filed under: uncultured eukaryote
Lineage: Eukaryota
Description: partial 18S ribosomal RNA
Rfam family: Eukaryotic small subunit ribosomal RNA
Source: RNAcentral
CCCUUAGAUGUCCUGGGCCGCACGCGCGUUACACUGAUGCAUUCAACGAGCCUAUAACCUUGGCCGAGAGGCCUGGGCAAUCUUGUUAACGUGCAUCGUGAUAGGGAUAGAUUAUUGAAAUUAUUAAUCUUGAACGAGGAAUUCCUAGUAAACGCAGAUCAUCAAUCUGCAUUGAUUACGUCCCUGCCCUUUGUACACACCGCCCGUCGCACCUACCGAUUGAGUGAUCCGGUGAAUAAUUCGGACCGAUGCAGUGCUCAGCUUCUGAACUUUGCAUUGGAAAGUUUAGUGAACCUUAUCACUUAGAGGAAGGAGAAGUCGUAACA